This 1887-nucleotide long non-coding RNA is filed under the name Glycine max (soybean). RNAcentral's name for it is "coproporphyrinogen-III oxidase-like (LOC100807236)". The record is from RNAcentral. Lineage: Eukaryota; Viridiplantae; Streptophyta; Magnoliopsida; Fabales; Fabaceae.
AGUAUUUUGUGUAAUUUAACGAAAUCUCAAGAGAUAUCAGUUAGAAAAAAUAUCUUGUCAAAUAAUUAGACAAUAGAUAAAGUGAGCCAGGAAAAAAAAAAUUGUGAAAAUAGAAAGAUAAAACAACAUCCUCGUCAUUUUUGGAGCCCAGCACUUGGUGUUGUCGUGCGUAACUAGUUACAACUCACAACGUACCUUGUCUCUCCUAUUCCUUUCCUUUAUCAACAUUUACGUGCUCCCCGUCCCGCCAUGCUGAAAUCAACCUUCACUCCAAUUUUCUGGGUACUCACACCCAAACCCAAACCUCCAAAACUCCCUUCCCAUGCAAUCACAAACACCUUCUUCACAAGCAGCAUGCCACAUGUUCGACAUAAUGCCCCUGUCAACCCCAUCACCCCACCACCCGCAUCUUCAGCCUACAUCCACCUCCCAUUCUGCCGCAAACGCUGCCACUACUGCGACUUCCCCAUCGUCGCCCUCGGCUCCACCUCCGCCCUAAUCGACGACGACCCACGAGUCUCAAACUACAUCCACUGGCUCUGCAGAGAAAUCAAUGCCACCAAUGUGGACCAACCUGAUGAUGCCAACACCAUCACACCCCUUCAAACUGUCUACUUUGGAGGUGGGACGCCCUCGCUGGUGCCUCCUAGGAUGGUUUCCUCAGUGUUGGACACACUGAGGACGAAGUUUGGGCUGCGCGAGGACGUGGAAAUAUCAAUGGAGAUGGACCCGGGCACGUUUGAUGCUGAGAAGAUGCGAGGGAUGGUGGUGCUGGGAGUGAAUAGAGUGUCCUUGGGAGUUUAGGCGUUUCGGGAGGAGCUGUUGAGAGCUUGUGGGAGGGCACAUGGGCUGAAAGAGGUUCAUGAGGCUAUUGAUGUUGUCAAGUUAUGUGAAGUUGAGAAUUGGAGUAUUGAUCUUAUAGCUUCAUUGCCUCAUCAGACUAGUGACAUGUGGGAGGAAAGUCUAAGGCUUGCCAUUGAAGCACAACCAACCCAUGUUUCGGUUUAUGACUUGCAAAUUGAGCAAGGCACGAAAUUUGGACGAUUGUACUCACUAGGGGAAUUCCCAAUGCCUUCUGAAACACAAUCAGCUGAGUUCUAUAAGAUGGCUUCAAGAAUGCUUUCUGAUGCGAAUUACAAUCAUUACGAAAUCAGCAGCUACUGCAAGAGUGGAUAUGAGUGCAAACACAACUUUAUCUAUUGGAAGAACAAGCCUUUCUAUGGCUUUGGCCUUUGCUCUGCUAGCUUUGUUGGUGGGUUGAGGUUUUCAAGACCAAGGAAAGUGAACGAUUAUAUUAAUUUUGUGCAGAAUCUGGAAAAUGGAUUCGUAAAUAGCUCUGUUGAAGGCCACAUUCAUGGCAAGGACACAGUCAUGGAUGUGGUGAUGCUGUCCCUAAGAACUGCACAAGGCAUAGACCUAAUGAGUCUCCAAGAAUCGUUUGGCAGCUCUAUUGUUUUGUCUUUGCUUGAGGCUUAUAAAACUUAUUUUGAGAGUGGACAUGUGGUUUGCUUGGACGAGUAUAGGAGAACCGUUAGAAUAGAUGACCUUAAUUCUUUUUUGAACAACACUAAUGCAGAAGGAAGGGUGGCUUAUAUAAGGCUAAGUGAUCCAGAAGGUUUCCUCUUAUCAAAUGAGUUGAUAGCCAUAGCUUUUGGGGUUAUCGACUCUUGGAAGGAUAUGCCUCCAUACCAAGAAGCAGAAGCUACUUGAAAGCAUGAAUGAAUCUGUUAAAGCAACACAUAAGUUAUAGAUGAUAUUAUCUAACAAUUAUUUUAUGUUUAUUUAUAUAGAGCAAAUAUUUGUUGAAAGGAGGGGAUGCAUUUUCAAACACUAAUGAUGGUCAUCUUUACAUUCUAUUGACACAGGUCACAUGAUCUUCAUAACAAA